This is a small nuclear RNA of Cynocephalus volans (Philippine flying lemur), 103 nucleotides long. Lineage: Eukaryota; Metazoa; Chordata; Mammalia; Dermoptera; Cynocephalidae. The record is from RefSeq and is a predicted model, not a curated record.
UUGCUUUGGCAGCACAUAUGCUAAAAUUGGAAUGAUACAGAGAAGAUUAGCAUAGCCCCUGCACAAAGAUGACACCCAAAUUCUUGAAGUGUUCCAUAUUUUU